CCUACGGGUGGCAGCAGUGGGGAAUAUUGGGCAAUGGGCGCAAGCCUGACCCAGCAACGCCGCGUGAAGGAAGAAGGCUUUCGGGUUGUAAACUUCUUUUGUCAGGGACGAAGCAAGUGACGGUACCUGACGAAUAAGCCACGGCUAACUACGUGCCAGCAGCCGCGGUAAUACGUAGGUGGCAAGCGUUAUCCGGAUUUGUUGGGUUUAAGGGGUGCGUAGGCGGAGCGUUAAGUCAGUGGUCAAAUUGAGGGGCUAAACCCCUUCCCGCCAUUGAAACUGGCGAUCUUGAGUGGAAGGGAAGUAUGCGGAAUGCGUGGUGUAGCGGUGAAAUGCAUAGAUAUCACGCAGAACCCCGAUUGCGAAGGCAGCAUGCCGGCUUCCGACUGACGCUGAAGCACGAAAGCGUGGGGAUCGAACAGGAUUAGAUACCCGGGUAGUC
This 442-nucleotide ribosomal RNA is filed under the name uncultured bacterium. RNAcentral's name for it is "partial 16S ribosomal RNA". It matches the Rfam family "Bacterial small subunit ribosomal RNA", at positions 338 to 795 of the family's 1533-position model. The record is from RNAcentral.